This is a long non-coding RNA of Numida meleagris (helmeted guineafowl), 5623 nucleotides long. RefSeq lists it as uncharacterized. The record is from RefSeq and is a predicted model, not a curated record. The transcript has 3 exons. NCBI's taxonomy places the organism in Eukaryota, Metazoa, Chordata, Aves, Galliformes, Numididae.
GCCUGGCUGCUCUCCUUGUGCCAAGGGCGAACCACGCUCUCUGACGCUCACAUUUACCACAGCAAACUUUUAGAUAUGGGCAUCAGAGGAGAGAGAACAAACCAAAAGAUCUCACAUGGGAUCGCGGAAGAAAAACCUCUGAACCGGUUGCAACUUGAAGCCUUUUCCUUUCAUUAAAUAGUAACAAGAUUUUCUACACAGUAGAAACUCACAGCUUGAGCUGCACAUCCCCACUGAACCAGCUAGCUGGAGAACAUCUGGAUCCUGAGAUGACAACAAAAGAAGGGAAAUUGUAAAACUGCACGCCUAUACUAAGAAUGCAAGGAUUUACUCUUGCUAGGAAUAUUCAGAAUGCAACAAAGGAAAACUAUGGACAAUCAGAAUCUUCUACGGAUGGAAUUAAGAGAACCAGAUGGCCAAAUAUCUAUGGAGUAUUCAGAUCUAUUACACUGAUGCAGAAACAUUAGAGAGGAAGAAAUCCUACACGUCUUGAGAGUAAGUAGCCUGUACAGACCACAUAAUAACAAAUGACAUCAUUAUGCACUGCCUUGAAGAAAAUGGCCUUUUGACUUUCAACAGUUUAUGUGCUCCGUGGAAUGUCAAGCUCUUCACAUUUUCUUUUCUGUUAAAAAAAAAAUCCUGAAGCACUACUCCCUCUGAUUAAGCACUAAGAUUGUGCAGUGAAAAACCUCUACUCGCAAUAAACAAUCAUUUGGCAACCUCAGUGAUCACAGGAUUUGAAAAUCCUGGUAUUACAAAACACUAGUUUACUAUUUAAGGGCGAGUGAAAAAUGAAAAGCACAGCUCUGAAUUCCAGCCUGAAAAAGCCAACACGCCCACCGCAGCAUCACUGAUGCACACAGAGAAAAACAUCCCAACCACAGGGAAACAUUAUCGCCGGCUUAACGAUCUCCAGCAAAGAAAACUUCCUGGACCAAUUGUGUCAGCAUCCUCUCCUGAUGGAAGAAGCUUCACCGCGAGCUGAUGGCACAAAGAGUGAGCCUACAGCCCUUGUUCAGUUUGAAACCCAGCCCAGGUCCUCACGCUGCAGAACUGAGGAGGACGAUGCAGUGCCGAGGGCCCUGGGGUAAGACCUGGGAGAUGCAGACUCAGCACCCUACUGAGAGUCCAGCUCUGGGGUUGAUUUUGCCAUCCAAGAGAUGGAGAUACCCCCACGUCCCCACUGAGGCGCUCAGGCAGGUAUCCGCGUGCCUCACGCAGCCUCCCGAGGCAGUCCCUGGAAAGUGAAGCUUGAGCUGCUGUACUCUGCUCUACAAGAAACACGUCCCUGGAACUGGAAGAUGAAAGAAGCGACAAACUUCAAGUUUAACACACACAAUUGAAAUUCUGCCUAAAAUUCCACUUGAAAAAUCUCUGUUUCGGGCACAUUCCAAAAAUAACAAUAGCAGCUCUAUUUCAAUGUUAUGGCUGUAAUCACCUUAACUCUGCAGUACCACCAUGUUUCUGAAAUACAGUCAAAGACCAUCAGAAAGGAGAAUAGUUUUGAGAUGAAAUCUGAUGUUCUGUUUUCUCAGCCUGCAAAUAAAUGUGAUGAGCGCUGACAUGAAAAGCAUUUCAACUGUGCAAACACUGUUUUGUUCUAUAAACACUAAUAGGAAAGCACCUACCAACACAGCCACAACUUGGGCUAGCUGAUUAAAAACUAUUUUAAGCAGCGUCCCUAUACAUUGUGUUAAAAAUAAUUUAAUGUUCUGUUUUAUAACAGGGAACUGAAAAACAAGCUGACAACCAAAGAACCGUAGUGAAACACAGGCUCUGGUUUUAAAGGACAUUCACGUUGUAGAGGAUCAUGAGAAGAUUUUUCCUUUUUCCCCCACAAAUUUUAAUACGAACACGUUCUCUAACAACAUCCCUAGAAAGUAUCUGCUGGAGGAUUUCCCUCCUGCUCACCCACUAACUGUCCAGCCCCCACAAAACUGAACAAAUUGCACGUGCCAGCCCAACUAAUUCAAGCUCACAAAUCGCUACCCCAUCACUGACAGACAUGUACCUACACAGUGUUCUCCCACACAGGUUUUACUGGUUUAUGUUUAGAUAUUGAUAUUUAGAUAUCAAUCAGUGUGAAAAGAGCACAAAGGCUAAAUAAAUUAGACAACUUAUAUUUGUUUCAUCACCUUUUUACUUGCCUGAAGAGUGUAAAGUGGCCUUUAUGUGUAUGAAAAUCCACAUCUGGGACUUGUGCUUUUUAUAGUACCGAUGUGAGAACCCUGUGUCAUAAUCCCAGUGUUGCCUGCAGUGGUGUAGUCCUCAAAAGAGGUGUUAAUGCCACAAGAGUUUUAGUCACCUGAGACCUCAUCCCAUGAGAUGCUGGAUCCAACUCAGAGCCCUUAGGAGCUCCACUAUGAACACUCCUUGCCACGGGACUGGGCCUUAAACUAAGCUCCAGACACAAUGCAGUCCAAAGAUGUCUUCAAAUGUGGUCCUUCUGCUUUCUGGGGUUGGUGGGUUUUUUUUGCAUUUUCUUUACAGUUUGUGUGUCUUUGUUCAAUUCACUGAGUUGGGGUUUAUAGCAAAAAAAAAAAAAAAAGAAAAAAAAAGAAAAAAACAACCAACAACUGCUCUCAGUCAUGAAACUAACUUGUGAUUAACUGGCAGGAACAUCACAAUUACAGCCAGGAAGAAAAAAGCACCGCUUAGAACUUGGUAUAUUUUUAUCUACACAUAUGUGAUUACAAGUGACUUCUUUGACACCAGAUAUGCCAUGCAUUCUGUGCACAUCGCUGCAGCUUUAACCAUGAACUUCUCUCUCCUUAACCCUUUCAAACACGAGCAAACUGUUACACUCACAAAACCAAAAUCCAGAAAUCAACCUCCUUGCGGUUUCCUGAACUAAAUCACAGCAUCUUGUCCCACGCAGGGGAAACGUCAGUGUUUGUGUACCUGUGAACUGCUUUUUACGCUUCUGCAGUUAUCUCAAGCACCUGGAACACCAUCCUGCCAGGGGCAGGAUCAGAAUCAGCAAAGCCUCUGUUUUUUUGGAAGCAGUUCUGACUUACCAUUAUGCUAAAGCACCAUCACCCUUGUUAGCGAGGCCUGGUACAAGCCAGCAUGUCAGCUUUGGUGCCUCCUGCUAGGAGGAGGAGAAGCCCUUCACGAGCAGACGGAACAUCCAACACACUGAAUAUACUUCAAGUAGACCUGUACUAAAAAAGAACUUUUAAGGAGAAGCCCUAAGUGAUAGCUCUGUGCCUGGAUCCUGGGCACAGCACCGGUCGCUGCCACAUCACCUUGCAAGCUGGAGAAGACAGUCCAGAUGUCUCCAGCAAAUACGUAGUCUAAGGAUCAUUUUCUGCUAGGAAAUAGUUAGACUAACAACACAUUUCCGUUAAAACACUGUGCAGCAAUAAAAAGGGUUCUGACACCAGGCUUGGAUUUCACUUCAGUGUAAAUCGAUAAUGUGCAUAAUUUCAGAGAUGUGACAGAAUUUUAACAAAGAGUUUUGUCCUUUAGUUACGAUCAGUGAAGGUCAAACACGAACAUGCAGUUUGGACUGAGAGGCUCUGAGCACUGGGAACACAUCCUGCAUGGGUGUAACUCAGGUCAAUGACCAGGGAAAUCAAGCUGGUCAGGACUAGCUGAGAACGCAGCCGUGGUCCGGGCCUCCCUGUAUGAAGGAUAAAUGUGAGCGCCAGGUUGGGCAGACAGGCAGACAGCUGCUAAGAGCUCUGCAGAUAAUCCUCUGGCAGCGUCACCCACAUAAGGCAGGUACUGACGGAAUCUGACUGAUAGUACUCCCGGAGCUCUGACACUGUAAUGCAGCUAAAAUCCAGGGAAUACGUUUUUAAAGUAGCACAGAUGAUUGUCCAUUUAUUACAGAGGAGAAGGCCGAUAACACACUUCACGAGUCACUAACACGGUGGAAUUCAUUUAUUGCCUCUUAUUCUCAGAGCACACCGGAGCAGGAAUUACAAAUACUACCAGAGCGAUACCAACUUGCUAAGCAUUGCUCUAUCUCCUUACAUUUUUAACUCCUAAAAUUUGCCCAAAGAACCAUCUCUCCUGGUCACUUCUCAGAACAGCCUGUAACACAGCACGAGGCGGAGGCCGUGCAGCCGACACAAGCUGCGUUCUGCUGCACCGUGCCUUUUCAGCACAGCACUUUGAACUCAAACCUGCAAAGAGACAGCUCUGAAGCGUGUUUCAGUGAGCAGCUCCCAAGGCUGCAGCCCCAGACUGCCGCUGACACUCUGACCUGCAAUGCUUCACUCCCACCAUUGUUCCGGGUGUGAGCAGACGCCCUCCCCGCCACGCACGCUCACUCACACGCGCUGCGCGUUACAUCAUGCGCUUUGCUGCUAAUAGUAAAGCCGGCAGAAAGGAAUUUUAUUUUUACACUUUCACACCACCCACUCCUAAUUACUGUCAAUCAGUGUCUCCCGCAUAGUACACACUGCAAAUGUGCACGGCCUUAUUUGUGCUGGGGUUUUCAGCAAAAAUUUCCACCGUUGCUAAAAACUGACCGGGCCCCCUGACUGCCGAUGGACACGGGCAGGAGCAGCCUGCAGGUACGCUGCUUUCCCUGCGAGCCAUCACAACUCUCUGGCUUCAGGGCGUUUCUAUCCAUGUACUUAUGCUUCUUCUCUACCAAGACACAAGUGGGAACACAUCUGUAGCUGCACUCCUAAGCUGUCCCGAUAACUGCCACGGCAGCAGAAACCGGAGGGUAAUUCUGCCCCCAAACCCAAGGCAGACGGACUCGGUUUCCCAGCACACAUGCCCGCACACCACUCAUUUCUUUUUAUAGCCUGCUUUUCCUUCUGAUGCAAAAGUAAAUCCAGCUCAGAUGAUUUCCCUGCCUUAACUUUUGUACAAGAGGAAGACAGAAAGCUAAAAAAAGAAAAUUAGACACUUCAUGAAAUCCGUGAUUAAGACACAGAAACUAACAAGACAGAUGGGCUGAAACAUUCAGGGAGCUUCAGUUCAUCAGCCCAUGUUUUUCAAAGUAAGCUAUUGUAUUCCUCAUUUAGACUUCUUAAAUCCUGUUUCUCCAUCCAAUAACUUGGCGCCAUUUCUGAACUUGGCGUCCCCUUGCUGAGUAUUCCAAAAUAAACCCCAAAAACUCACUAUGUUUUUUCUCCUCUCCCUUCCUUUGCCUCCCUGUCAAGUGCAGAUAUAUACCAUUGCUGGAGUGCCCUGUCACACAGCCCUCAAAUCUCACCUGGCUGCACGCAUUUGCCCUGUGAGGCUUGUUAACCAGUAGGGACAGGUGAACACGGUAUCAUAGCUACACAAGCUGACCGGUGCUCCCCAGUGCAUCCUGCAAGGCAACACUUCACAGUUCCCAGGUGAAGGGAGGGUUACCCUCCAAGCCACACCUUGCUUUGCUCCUGCAUGGAGGAACCACUGCCGGCAUCAGAGAGGGUACUGCUGCGUAGCAGAAUGAGGAAGACAGCUCCACAGAAAUGCUAUCUGUAGGGCUAAAGAGGAGAAGUCAGUACUGUGCACACUGGGAGAAAGGAAGAACUGCUCCUAGCAAGGGGCUCCCCAGCAUCCAGAAUGAGGGCCCAGGCCGGUCCCCAGGGCAGCCCUUUUGCCACUGGGAAUCAGUUCCUCUUUUCUGCAGGGUGCACAAAGCAGCUACUCACCCUGGGGGAAAAAAAAA